Arachis ipaensis is the source of this 173-nucleotide non-coding RNA. The record is from RefSeq and is a predicted model, not a curated record. Lineage: Eukaryota; Viridiplantae; Streptophyta; Magnoliopsida; Fabales; Fabaceae.
AAGAAACUGGAACCAAGAUCAAGGAGCUUACUUUGCUGGAAAGCAUCAAGAGCAACCCGUCAGAAGCUGUCCCACUUGAAAAUUCGAACCCGAAAACCAAGAGCAUUGCUGAAGUUAGUCUCAUGUGGGAGAUGUCUCUCUUCAAAAUCUCCAAGAUAGUUUUGGGAAUCUCU